RNAcentral lists this ribosomal RNA (465 nucleotides) under uncultured Klebsiella sp. Its description in RNAcentral is "bacterial SSU rRNA". It matches the Rfam family "Bacterial small subunit ribosomal RNA", at positions 338 to 795 of the family's 1533-position model. Lineage: Bacteria; Pseudomonadati; Pseudomonadota; Gammaproteobacteria; Enterobacterales; Enterobacteriaceae. The record is from RNAcentral.
CCUACGGGGGGCAGCAGUGGGGAAUAUUGCACAAUGGGCGCAAGCCUGAUGCAGCCAUGCCGCGUGUGUGAAGAAGGCCUUCGGGUUGUAAAGCACUUUCAGCGGGGAGGAAGGCGUUAAGGUUAAUAACCUUGUCGAUUGACGUUACCCGCAGAAGAAGCACCGGCUAACUCCGUGCCAGCAGCCGCGGUAAUACGGAGGGUGCAAGCGUUAAUCGGAAUUACUGGGCGUAAAGCGCACGCAGGCGGUCUGUCAAGUCGGAUGUGAAAUCCCCGGGCUCAACCUGGGAACUGCAUUCGAAACUGGCAGGCUAGAGUCUUGUAGAGGGGGGUAGAAUUCCAGGUGUAGCGGCGAAAUGCGUAGAGAUCUGGAGGAAUACCGGUGGCGAAGGCGGCCCCCUGGACAAAGACUGACGCUCAGGUGCGAAAGCGUGGGGAGCAAACAGGAUUAGAUACCCCUGUAGUC